This 223-nucleotide long non-coding RNA is filed under the name Erythranthe guttata (spotted monkey flower). Its description in RNAcentral is "long non-coding RNA (EGUT_LNC003423)". Lineage: Eukaryota; Viridiplantae; Streptophyta; Magnoliopsida; Lamiales; Phrymaceae. The record is from RNAcentral.
GCUGUGAUUGGUUCAUGGAUUUCAAAAUAAGGAAAAUGAAAAUGUAAAAGAAAAGGAAAUCAAGGACUUUUGAAAUCCCAGUUGUGUUUGGUUCCUAAGUAAAAUAGUGAUGAAAAUGGCUUUGUGGAAAAUCAUUUUACUUACUUUUGUUUGGUUUCUAGGAAAAAAUGUGAAAAUGACAAUAAAUUAUUAAAUGGGGUAAUUUUAUUUUCUAUCAAAGAUG